Stegodyphus dumicola is the source of this 1603-nucleotide long non-coding RNA. RefSeq lists it as uncharacterized. NCBI's taxonomy places the organism in Eukaryota, Metazoa, Arthropoda, Arachnida, Araneae, Eresidae. The record is from RefSeq and is a predicted model, not a curated record.
GUAAUUUAUAAAUUUUAUUUUAUUAAAAUACAACACUUCUUGGCUAAUUGGCAUACAAAUCUAUCCUAAAGAUAAAAUCAUUAACACUUAAGAACAGAGCAAAUAGCCUUUAAAAUCAUAUUUUCAUUUAAAGAAAUGGCUUUCUGUAGAAAAAGUAUUGUAAUUAUAUACUCAUUAAUAAUACACAUAUUAAUGAAGAUAUUAUAAACUGUAUCCUGUAUAAGUAAUACAGAUACAGAUUCUUGAAGUUGCUAAUGUGACCCCAGAGGGAGCCUUGACAUACGAGUCAAGUCAAAACAAGUUAUGCCGGGAAUAUUGUGUGAAGCACGAUGUGUCUGUCUCAAUAAUGAAUAAGGCCAUUAACGCAGAUCAUGUGAAACUGUCAUGACCACUGAAAGGAAAGGAGGUAGCAAAGCAAGACAGCCGGAAGGAUUGAGGAACGAUCAAGACAUUGCAAAUCAGACUAGAAGGGCUAUAGCAUGUGCAGGACUAAAGCAAAGUCAUAAAAUUAAUGAAGUCAGCCAUGUAUAGGCAGUAAAUUGCAAAGUUUGAAGUACAGUUCAGUGACAAAAAUAAACAAUAUAAUACAGUAUAAAGUUCCAAAUCCAGACGUACAGUAUUCAGAAUGAUUUAAAAUCCAGACUUUCACAUCUCUUUUUUUCCCCCCUUUUUUGAAGAAAUUCUUUGUAUGAUCUACGCUUGUCCAUUUGAUAGGUUUUCAUCAUAAAAUGUGUGAAUAGUCCUAAUUCUCAAUUUCACUUCAGCACAGACAUCAUUCUUUACUACUUUUACUUUCAUCUCCCCAUGAUUAUCACCACACUGCAGCCUGAGAAUGACUAAUGUAGCAAUGUUUAAUUUUUUUUUAAUUAGUAAGUAAUUGAAUACCAAAGAGUAUUAGUAAUUGAAUACCAAAGAGCAUGGUAAACUUUAAAGCUGAAUUUAUGCUUGACAAUGAUUACAUACUUCAGCUAAUUCUGCUCCGAAGUGCUGAGUAUGCUGACAAGGAGAAUUUUAACAGAAAUUUCUUUCCAUAUGAAAAAAAUAGAUUUUAUAAACGGUGCUCAUAGAUCACAAGAUUACCUUUAGUGCUAUCUGAAAUGGUAUUAAUUGAUUUGGUAUUCAGCUAAGCACAGGACUGGUGCAAGAGCUGGUUUAGAGAAGGCACUAGGAUGCAAAAUUUAGAGGUGGCAAAACUUUUGGAAUUUAGGCAGCUGCAUGGCAGCAGAAUUUCAGUCCCACAGAGACUGCACUGGGCUGUAAAAUGACUAGCAGGUGAAUAUGGAGGCUGGAAGGAGAACAGCGAGCGGAUCAUAAAAUAGAAAAUACAAUGACAAUCCGAAUGUGAUUGACAAAGUGAAAAGCAGGAUCUGGAGAUUAAACGAAAUGUGAAACAGCGAUCUAAAAGUGAAAAUUUAUUAAAAGGACAAAUGCUUCAAGACAAAAAAAAUUAAGAACUUUUAACAAACCAAAUGCAAUGAAAUUUCUGAAGGCUAUGGUUUCUGAGAGCACAAAUGCAUUAUUUCUCACACACUUUCUUGUUCUGCAAUGUAAAUCUUUGAAAUGAGAGCAGAAAAAGUUACUAGUAAAACUUUUGAAAUUUUCA